This 451-nucleotide ribosomal RNA is filed under the name uncultured bacterium. RNAcentral describes it as "partial 16S ribosomal RNA". It matches the Rfam family "Bacterial small subunit ribosomal RNA", at positions 354 to 796 of the family's 1533-position model. The record is from RNAcentral.
GUGGGGAAUAUUGGACAAUGGGGGGAACCCUGAUCCAGCCAUGCCGCGUGUGUGAAGAAGGCCUUUUGGUUGUAAAGCACUUUAAGCGAGGAGGAGGCUACCGAGAUUAAUACUCUUGGAUAGUGGACGUUACUCGCAGAAUAAGCACCGGCUAACUCUGUGCCAGCAGCCGCGGUAAUACAGAGGGUGCAAGCGUUAAUCGGAUUUACUGGGCGUACAGCGCGCGUAGGUGGCCAAUUAAGUCAAAUGUGAAAUCCCCGGGCUUAACUUGGGAAGUGCAUUCGAUACUGGUUGGCUAGAGUAUGGGAGAGGAUGGUAGAAUUCCAGGUGUAGCGGUGAAAUGCGUAGAGAUCUGGAGGAAUACCGAUGGCGAAGGCAGCCAUCUGGCCUAAUACUGACACUGAGGUGCGAAAGCAUGGGGAGCAAACAGGAUUAGAAACCCUGGUAGUCC